Molecule: unclassified non-coding RNA, 350 nt
Filed under: soil metagenome
Description: partial contains 5.8S ribosomal RNA, internal transcribed spacer 2, and large subunit ribosomal RNA
Rfam family: 5.8S ribosomal RNA (bases 1-120)
Source: RNAcentral
GAUGAAGAACGCAGCGAAAUGCGAUAAGUAAUGUGAAUUGCAGAAUUCAGCGAAUCAUCGAAUCUUUGAACGCACAUUGCGCCCCCCGGCAUUCCGGGGGGCAUGCCUGUCCGAGCGUCAUUGCACCCCUCGAGCCCGCGCGGGUUUCGGUGUUGGGCCGCCGUCCCCCGGGGGGGGGGACGGGCCCGAAAGGCAGUGGCGGCCCCGGGGCGACUUCCCGCGCGAUCGCAGCACCUCGCGGCCGAAGCGUUCGCCCCGCGGGCCCGCCUGGACCACCAGUGUGACGUACCGGUUGACCUCGGAUCAGGCAGGGAUACCCGCUGAACUUAAGCAUAUCAAUAAGCGGAGGA